CAUCUACUCCCUCCGUCCCAAAAUUCUUAUGUUACAUUUGUCUAGAUAUGAAUGUAUCUAGUCAUGUUUUAAUAUUUAGAUACAUCUAUUUAUAAACAAAUCUAAGACAAAAUUUUUGGAACAGAGGGAGUACUUU
Hordeum vulgare subsp. vulgare (domesticated barley) is the source of this 136-nucleotide non-coding RNA. NCBI's taxonomy places the organism in Eukaryota, Viridiplantae, Streptophyta, Magnoliopsida, Poales, Poaceae. The record is from Rfam.